This 2881-nucleotide long non-coding RNA is filed under the name Sus scrofa (pig). RNAcentral describes it as "lncRNA (ENSSSCG00030018984.1)". The record is from RNAcentral. Lineage: Eukaryota; Metazoa; Chordata; Mammalia; Artiodactyla; Suidae.
UUUUUCGUGGACACUUAAUUUUCCUUUUGUGUAAAGACUAUUCCCAUUUCAGUGAAUCUCAUGCUUUCUGGGAUUUUUUUUUCUUUUUAGGGCCACACCUGCCACAGAAGGAAGUUCCCAGGCUAGGGGUUGAAUCUGAGCUGCAGCUGCAGGCCCACGCCACAGCCACAGCAAUGCCUGAAUCUGAGCAGCAUCUGUGACCUACACUGGAGCUUUCAGCAAUACCAGACCCUUAACCCUCUGAGCGAAGCCAGGGAUUGAACCCACCUCCUCGUGGAUACUGGUCAGAUCCUUAAACCGCUGAACCACACGGGAACUCCUGGGGUUUUUUUAAUUAAACAAAAAUGAACUGGAAGAGGUAGUCAAAAAAGAAAUAGGAGUACGUGUGUGUGUGUGUGUGUGUGUGUGUGUGAGAGAGAGAGAGAGAGAGAGAGAGAGAGAGAAUGAUAGUUGCUGCUAUAUGAACGAUUUAUGUAAAAUAAAGGAUUUGUGAUUAGAUAGGCACAGGUUUAAAUCCUAAUUCCAUCAUUUAUUAACUAAGUGAUUUAGACAAAUUAGAUGAUCUCAGGGGUUUUUUUUUUCAUCUGUAAAAUGGGUAUAAUUUUAAUUGCUUAGCACUAACUGAGGAGGUGCUCAAUGAAUGACAGUGCCCAUUAUUACCUAUAAUGAAAGCUCAGAAAAAACUUUAUGGAACUCAUGACCCACUUCUAUAGUUUUAGAAGUUCUAUGGUUCUUGAUUAUUCUACCCAUUUGACCAGUGAAUCUUCACACCGCUUGUUAAUUUCAGUUUUGAACUCCAUAUUUUAAAAUGUGUAUAGAUCCUCUUUCUUUAGGGCUGCUCCUGUGGCAUAUGAAAGUUCCCAGGCUGAUGGUCAGAUUGGAACUGCAGCUGCCGGCCUACCCCACAGCCACAGUCACACUGGAUCUGAGCCACAUCUGUGACCUACACCACAAGUUCAAGGCAAUGCCAGAUCCUUAACCCACUGAAUGAGGCCAUGGACCAAACCUUCAUCCAAAUGGACACUAGUUGGGUUCUUAACCCCCUGCGCCACAAUGGGAACUCCCUGAAAUACCUGUAGCCUUUACGUCCUAAUUGGGAAGCCAAGACCCAUAAGUCAUGGACCUAAUUGGCCAACCCCUUCUGCACAUCCUACAUCACAGGUUUCAGGUUGGUCAUUCUUAGUGCCCAAAAAUGCUGCUGCUCAAGAUAACUUGGAUUUUAAAAGUCAUUAUUCGUUUGCCAAACUGAAUGAGUAAGAAGGAGUUUACAUUGUCCGAACUUUACUUCCGUGAAAGUGAGUCCACGGUAAGAGUCCUGGGGAUCUGGGCUGAAGAGGCAGGGGACAGGGGGAGAGAGGGGAAGAAAUCCGGAAAUCGGUAUUGAGAGGUCAAGCCAGAUGGCAAGACCAGCAGACAGGCCACCUGAAGGGUUACUCCAAAAAGGCUGAAAGAUUUUCUUUUCUGUGGAAAUGUGCAUUGAUGCUGUAUAUUAGAUUCCAGUUAUAAGCGAUAUCAUGGACUUGGAGAAUAGACUUGUGACUGUCCGGGGAGGAGAGGAAGGGAGUUGGAGGGAUCGGGAGCUUGGGUUAUCAGAUGCCAACUAUUUUUGUUCUUGGAAUGGAUUUACAAUGAGAUCCUGCUGUGUAGCAUUGAGAACUAUGUCUAGAUACUUACAUCGCAAUAAAACAAUAGGAGGGAAAAGAAUGUAUACAUGUAUGUGUAACUUGCUCCCCAUGCUGUACAGCGGAAAAUAAAUAAAUAAAAAAAUAAAUAAUAAAAGGGCUGAAAGAGCUGUGCAGGCAUGAAAACAGAAUCAAUGAAAAACCUUAGGACAAAGUAGGAGGUUUGGGAUGGAAAUAGGGGAGAGGCCUGAGAAAACUCCCUGAGAUCCUAGAAAGUUGCUGCCGGGCUUAGAAAGUUCUGCAUGUGGGAGGAUUGGGGGUGGAGAGUCUGGGUCAGGGAGGCAUCCAGGUUGCCAGGCCAAGAGCCAAUCCCCCCACUCCCCUUGUGCUGCUGCCAGUACAACCUUUAUAGCAGAUUCUUUUUGGGAGUAAGAGCCCCUCAAAUACAUUUGUCUUGCGAUAACUGAAUUUUAGUACUUAACAUUUUAAAAUGAUGGUUGUCAACUCUGGUGAUCAUUUGAGAAUCACUUGAGGAGUUUUACAGAAAUGCCAACACCUGGGCCCCAGCCCACAACAAUCAAAUGGAAUUUGAUGGGGCAGAUUCCAGAUAUGGAUAUUUUUGAAAAAGGUCUUCCCUGGUGAUUCCCCCUAUUCAUCUAGAUUUGAGAACGACUGCCCCCAAAUAGUCUAAAUUUAACUUAAUUUUUAUGAACUGAUUGCCACUUACGCUCAACACUCAGGACUUCUAAUGCUUUCAUGUGCUAUUUAAACAUUUUCUUCCUCUGCUUUUUGCUGCCCACAAGCCUACCUCUAGGAGCUGUCUAUCCUUCCUCCUGUUCUCCUGGGUUCUGAUUUGAAUCUUCCAAUGAUGUUCACAUCAUCGGGGGAAUUGUUAGCAUUGCGGGACAUGAUCAUUCUGUCUGUUUGGCAAGUGGCUUUGGGGGCUUUUGCCCUUCCAGGUUCCAGGUCUCCAAGUAUUAAAAUGUCUUCAGGAGGAGUUCCUGUCAUGGCGCAGUGGUUAAUGGAUCCGACUAGGAAUCAUGAGGUUGCGGGUUCGAUCCCUGCCCUUGCUCAGUGGGUUAAGGAUCUGGCGUUGCCGUGAGCUGUGGUGUAGGUCGCAGACACGGCUUGGAUCCCAUGUUGCUGUGGUUCUGGCCUAGGCUGGUGGCUACAGCUCCUAUUAGACCCCUGCCUGGGAACCUCCAUAUGCCGUGGGAAUGGCUCAAGAAAAGACAAAAAAUAAAUAAAAAAAUAAAAAA